RNAcentral lists this ribosomal RNA (1443 nucleotides) under metagenome. Its description in RNAcentral is "bacterial LSU rRNA". It matches the Rfam family "Bacterial large subunit ribosomal RNA", at positions 1502 to 2925 of the family's 2925-position model. The record is from RNAcentral.
CUGAACCGGGGUAAGCGUGUAGGAGGAGGACCAGGCAAAUCCGGGCCUCACAUACUCUGAGACGUGAUACCGAGCCGCUUCAGGCGAAGUCAUUAAUCCUAUGCUGCCUAGAAAAGCCCAGUAGCGAGUUGACAUGGUGCCCGUACCCCAAACUAACACAGGUGGACAGGCAGAGCAUACCAAGGCGAGUGGGAUAACUAUGGUUAAGGAACUCGGCAAAUUUCCUCCGUAACUUCGGGAUAAGGAGGACCCCAGUAGCGUGACGAGACUUGCUCUCCGAGCGUGAAGGGGUGGCACAAAAUUGAGGGAAGCGACUGUUUACCAAAAACACAGCAGCGUGCUAAGCCGUAAGGCGCUGUAUACGCUGUGACUCCUGCCCGGUGCUGGAAGGUUACGGGGAUGGGUUAGUCCUUCGGGACGAAGCUCUGAACCUAAGCCCCAGUAAACGGCGGCCGUAACUAUAACGGUCCUAAGGUAGCGAAAUUCCUUGUCGGGUAAGUUCCGACCUGCACGAAUGGAGUAACGACUUCCCUACUGUCUCAACCAUAGACCCAGCGAAAUUGAAGUACGAGUAAAGAUGCUCGUUAGCUGCAGAAGGACGGAAAGACCCCGUGGACCUUUACUAUAACUUGAUGUUGUGUUUUGUCAUAUGUUGUGUAGGAUAGGUGGGAGACAAGGAAGCAUGGACGCUAGUCUGUGUGGAGUCAUCGUUGAAAUACCACCCUGCAUAUGGUGAGGCUCUAACCUAGACCCGUUAUCCGGGUUGGGGACAGCGUCAGGCGGGUAGUUUAACUGGGGCGGUUGCCUCCUAAAGAGUAACGGAGGCGCCCAAAGGUUCCCUCAGCCUGGUUGGCAAUCAGGCGUCGAGUGCAAUGGCAAAAGGGAGCUUGACUGCGAGACCUACAAGUCGAGCAGGAGCGAAAGCUGGGCAUAGUGAUCCGGCGGUUGCGUGUGGAAGCGCCGUCGCUCAACGGAUAAAAGGUACCCCGGGGAUAACAGGCUAAUCUUGCCCAAGCGUCCAUAGCGACGGCAAGGUUUGGCACCUCGAUGUCGGCUCAUCGCAUCCUGGGGCUGAAGCAGGUCCCAAGGGUUGGGCUGUUCGCCCAUUAAAGCGGUACGCGAGCUGGGUUCAGAACGUCGUGAGACAGUUCGGUCCCUAUCCUCUGUAGCCGUAGGUGAAUUGAGGAAAGCUGUCCCUAGUACGAGAGGACCGGGACGGACGCAGCUCUCGUGUGCCAGUUGUCCUGCCAAGGGCAUGGCUGGUUAGCGACCUGCGGAAAGGAUAACCGCUGAAAGCAUCUAAGCGGGAAGCCUCUUCCGAGAUGAAUUCACCCACAGGGUUAACCUGGUAAGGCCCGUGGUAGACCACCACGUUGAUAGGCCGGAAGUGUAAGCGUGGCAACACGUUCAGCUGACCGGUACUAAUCGGCCGAGGGCUUGAAU